Molecule: long non-coding RNA, 391 nt
Organism: Monodelphis domestica (gray short-tailed opossum)
Lineage: Eukaryota; Metazoa; Chordata; Mammalia; Didelphimorphia; Didelphidae
Source: RefSeq, a predicted model, not a curated record
CAGAUGACCAUCACUGCAGUUUCCAAAUCUUUGCCACCACAGAAGAGCAACUUGAUUCAAAUGAAUAUGCUAAGGAUCAGAGAAGCAAAUUAUGGCUAAUUACCUGAAGUCGCACAGCUAGUGAAUAGCAGAGCUGAGAAUUCACCUUGAUCUUUCAACUUCAAGAUUGGGACACUCCUGCUGCUCUAAACCAUGUUUCUUAAAGGAGUGCCCAGAUUAGUCCCAAAACAUGGUUCAGUGAAUAUCAGCACAAGUUUUCUCUUCCCAGGGAAUUAACUCUUGGAGGAGAUAGGUUGAAUCCAAAUGUAAGAAAACUUAGGAAGUAAGGGGAAUAUAAAGAAGUUUUGAAAAUAAAACAGCUAGAAAACAGUGGGUAAGUUGAUAGAAAAGU